AUACGUAGGGGGCGAGCGUUGUCCGGAAUGAUUGGGCGUAAAGGGCGCGUAGGCGGCCCGGUAAGUCUGGAGUGAAAGUCCUGUUUUUAAGAUGGGAAUUGCUUUGGAUACUGUCGGGCUUGAGUGCAGGAGAGGUAAGUGGAAUUCCCAGUGUAGCGGUGAAAUGCGUAGAGAUUGGGAGGAACACCAGUGGCGAAGGCGACUUACUGGACUGUGACUGACGCUGAGGCGCGAAAGUGUGGGGAGCAAACAGGAUUAGAUACCCUGGUAGUCCACACUGUAAACGAUGAAUGCUAGGUGUAAGAGGUAUCGACCCCUUUUGUGCCGGAGUCAACACAAUAAGCAUUCCGCCUGGGGAGUACGGCCGCAAGGUUGAAACUCAAAGGAAUUGACGGGG
RNAcentral lists this ribosomal RNA (397 nucleotides) under uncultured bacterium. Its description in RNAcentral is "partial 16S ribosomal RNA". It matches the Rfam family "Bacterial small subunit ribosomal RNA", at positions 523 to 918 of the family's 1533-position model. The record is from RNAcentral.